Non-coding RNA from Pelobates cultripes (western spadefoot toad), 251 nucleotides. The record is from the annotation of a GenBank genome assembly. Lineage: Eukaryota; Metazoa; Chordata; Amphibia; Anura; Pelobatidae.
AACACCACAAGCGCUAAAGGGAACUGAAACAGAAACCACGAUAGGGCAACGAGCUAAGGGAAAAAGGUAAGUUAAAUAGCUUUUAAACCAAAGUGAUUGGCUCCUGUCACUUCCACACCCCCUAUAGGUAAUUGUAUAGGGAGUGUGGUAUGACAGGAGCCAAUGGGAGCCUUCUGGCAAUUAGGCUCCCACUGUCUCUUUAAGAGCGCGCCCGAGACUCGCGGCGCGCUCUUAGUUUCAGGCGGGACACG